GCCCGAUUAGCUCAGCUGGUUAGAGCGUCGUACUAAUAUCAGCAAUGAUAUCAAGUCAUGCGAAGGUCAACAGUUCAAUCCUGUUAUUGGGCA
Podospora australis is the source of this 93-nucleotide non-coding RNA. Lineage: Eukaryota; Fungi; Ascomycota; Sordariomycetes; Sordariales; Podosporaceae. The record is from the annotation of a GenBank genome assembly.